Molecule: long non-coding RNA, 427 nt
Filed under: Brassica napus (rape)
Lineage: Eukaryota; Viridiplantae; Streptophyta; Magnoliopsida; Brassicales; Brassicaceae
Description: long non-coding RNA (BNAP_LNC021803)
Source: RNAcentral
UAACUUGCAAUGGACUUGAGAAGGAAGAAAAACGUUUGAUCUUGUGUUUACAUAAAUAGUUUGAACAUGAGUAACUUGAAAUGGACUUGAGAAGGAAGAAGAACGUUUGUACUUGUGAACUAGAGAUGGACUUGAGAAGGAAAAAUAAAGUCUGAUCUUGUGAACUUGUCAAUACAUUUUCAUUUAUACAAGUUUCAUAACAACAAAGUCCGUGACAUUACAAAACAAGAGAGUAAAAGACAAGUGACAUGAGAAUACAAGACAAUCUGUGACAUUAGAAUACAAGACAUGUGACAAGAGAGUACAGAUGCCUACACGGAUGCUCCCAAAACUUGUGUGUUGCAAGAGUCAAAUUCGUACAAGAGAGUCUGUGACAAGAGAGUUGCAAGAGAGUCCAAACCUGAAACAAACAAUAACAUGAAUCAAU